GAUGAACGCUAGCUACAGGCUUAACACAUGCAAGUCGAGGGGUAUCAGGAAGAAAGCUUGCUUUCUUUGCUGGCGACCGGCGCACGGGUGAGUAACACGUAUCCAACCUGCCCUUUACUCGGGGAUAGCCUUUCGAAAGAAAGAUUAAUACCCGAUAGUAUAAUGAUUCCGCAUGGUUUGAUUAUUAAAGGAUUCCGGUAAAGGAUGGGGAUGCGUUCCAUUAGGUUGUUGGUGAGGUAACGGCUCACCAAGCCUUCGAUGGAUAGGGGUUCUGAGAGGAAGGUCCCCCACAUUGGAACUGAGACACGGUCCAAACUCCUACGGGAGGCAGCAGUGAGGAAUAUUGGUCAAUGGGCGGUAGCCUGAACCAGCCAAGUAGCGUGAAGGAUGAAGGCUCUAUGGGUCGUAAACUUCUUUUAUAUAAGAAUAAAGUGCAGUAUGUAUACUGUUUUGUAUGUAUUAUAUGAAUAAGGAUCGGCUAACUCCGUGCCAGCAGCCGCGGUAAUACGGAGGAUCCGAGCGUUAUCCGGAUUUAUUGGGUUUAAAGGGAGCGUAGGUGGACUGGUAAGUCAGUUGUGAAAGUUUGCGGCUCAACCGUAAAAUUGCAGUUGAUACUGUCAGUCUUGAGUACAGUAGAGGUGGGCGGAAUUCGUGGUGUAGCGGUGAAACGCUUAGAUAUCACAAAGAACUCCGAUUGCGAAGGCAGCUCACUGGACUGCAACUGACACUGAUGCUCGAAAGUGUGGGUAUCAAACAGGAUUAGAUACCCUGGUAGUCCACACAGUAAACGAUGAAUACUCGCUGUUUGCGAUAUACAGUAAGCGGCCAAGCGAAAGCAUUAAGUAUUCCACCUGGGGAGUACGCCGGCAACGGUGAAACUCAAAGGAAUUGACGGGGGCCCGCACAAGCGGAGGAACAUGUGGUUUAAUUCGAUGAUACGCGAGGAACCUUACCCGGGCUUAAAUUGCAGUGGAAUGAUGUGGAAACAUGUCAGUGAGCAAUCACCGCUGUGAAGGUGCUGCAUGGUUGUCGUCAGCUCGUGCCGUGAGGUGUCGGCUUAAGUGCCAUAACGAGCGCAACCCUUAUCUUUAGUUACUAACAGGUCAUGCUGAGGACUCUAGAGAGACUGCCGUCGUAAGAUGUGAGGAAGGUGGGGAUGACGUCAAAUCAGCACGGCCCUUACGUCCGGGGCUACACACGUGUUACAAUGGGGGGUACAGAAGGCAGCUAGCGGGUGACCGUAUGCUAAUCCCAAAAGCCUCUCUCAGUUCGGAUCGAAGUCUGCAACCCGACUUCGUGAAGCUGGAUUCGCUAGUAAUCGCGCAUCAGCCACGGCGCGGUGAAUACGUUCCCGGGCCUUGUACACACCGCCCGUCAAGCCAUGGGAGCCGGGGGUACCUGAAGUACGUAACCGCAAGGAUCGUCCUAGGGUA
This 1433-nucleotide ribosomal RNA is filed under the name uncultured organism. Its description in RNAcentral is "16S ribosomal RNA". It matches the Rfam family "Bacterial small subunit ribosomal RNA". The record is from RNAcentral.